AAACAAUGUGGACAAACACAUUGGAAAGUGUAAGUCAGGUGCUAUUUUGAUGAAAAUUGCAACAUCGGCAGACAAGAAAUCAAAUGUUAGGCAAUUUCCAAUGAGAGCGGCCAAACAAAAGCAACAAAUACGUAUCGAAGUCCAACCGUUCAAAAAAUAAAAGAUGAUUUUUCAAUACCUUUUGAACAAGCUGGAGGACAACGAAAUAGAAGUACAACUUGAAGAUUAUACAAGUUUGUAAAAUAAGGUACAACAAUCAAUUGGGUCCUACAUUUUACUCUACCACUUCAUUAGUAUCCUCAAUUGUAAUCUCAUCACAAAGUAUGUUAUAAACUCUGUGAGGGGUACCACAUUUUACUCUACCACUUCUUUAGUAUCUUCACUUGUAAUCUCAUCAUAGAGUAUGUUAUAAACUCUAUGAUGAUCAUAAAAUAUUUAGUCAUGUCAAGUUCUUAUUUUAUGCGUUCUUGUUAAUAAGUAAGCUUGUCAAGCCUCAAUAGGAUUAGUACGGUAAGGUUAACCCGGUUUCAAUAUCGGUGCUACUGUCCCUCUUAUUUGAACUUUUCCUUAUUGUUGUAAUGUUAUUUUCAGUUAUUAAUAAAAAACUAGGUCUAGGCGCUUGCUUAGUGGAUUGCUAAAAAAAAUAAAAUAAUUCAUGACUUGAACAUUUGGAGGCACUAUUUAUAUGGCGUAUCCUGUGAGGUGUUCUCGGAUCAUCUAAGUCUUCAACACUUUUUAUGCAGAAGGACCUCAAUUUGAGACAGCGGAGGUGGCUUGGGUUGCACAAGGAUUAUAAUAUUACCAUAUCGUAUCAUCCGGGGAAGGCCAAUGUAGUAGCC
This 839-nucleotide long non-coding RNA is filed under the name Nicotiana benthamiana. RNAcentral's name for it is "long non-coding RNA (NBEN_LNC005700)". The record is from RNAcentral. Lineage: Eukaryota; Viridiplantae; Streptophyta; Magnoliopsida; Solanales; Solanaceae.